AAUGCACCCCUAUUCCUCCCCGGGGCCAUUCCCGCUCAACGAGUUUUAUGACCUAAAAAACCCCACAGGCUGGUCUGAAGAGGAAGACACUUAAAGAUGAAGUGCUUAAUUCAAGGUCACAGAAUGUCGGGGAUGGACCUCCAGAUUUCCUUACUGACCUGCAUUAUCUUGUGGAUACCUGAGUGAAUUCCACACCACCCAUUUUAUAGAUGAAGCCACUGAGACGUGGAGCAACUGACUGAGUAGUCACUGCCCCACCCCUGCCUGGAGCCUCACACAUGACUUCUCUUAGUGACCACAGGAAAACAAGCUCAGGGCUCCCACUGAUUGUACAUUAUGGUGAGACGUGGUCUUGUAACACAGUGGUUAAGAAUGUGACUUUGGAGCCAGCCUGCUAGGGGCUGAAUUCUGACUCAGCCAUUUAUUAACUGUGUGACCUUAGGGAGGAGGACCUGGUUGAUAGAAGAAUUUAUCUCAUAGUCUUAACAUCCACUGUAAUUCCGAACUUUGAGGACGAUAGAGAUCAGUGGGCUUUGACUGCCCAGCAUGCAGUCUCCAUUCUUAGGUCAUAGAAUUUUCCACACUCCUUGACGGAGGUUCUUAACCCUUAUCCAUCAGCAUUCUCAGACAGCACCUCCGGUUAGGGACAGUAUCUGACCGUCCGACAUCCCUGCAGCCCCCAUGCUGUCACACAGACUCAGCCUCAGGUAGAUGGUUUCCGUAGAUGGUGGCUUUCUU
RNAcentral lists this non-coding RNA (738 nucleotides) under Pongo abelii (Sumatran orangutan). The record is from RNAcentral. Lineage: Eukaryota; Metazoa; Chordata; Mammalia; Primates; Hominidae.